RNAcentral lists this ribosomal RNA (253 nucleotides) under uncultured bacterium. RNAcentral describes it as "partial 16S ribosomal RNA". It matches the Rfam family "Bacterial small subunit ribosomal RNA", at positions 524 to 776 of the family's 1533-position model. The record is from RNAcentral.
UACAGAGGGUGCGAGCGUUGUUCGGAAUUAUUGGGCGUAAAGGGCGCGUAGGCGGCGCCACAAGUCACUUGUGAAAACUCUGGGCUCAACUCAGAGCCUGCAAGCGAAACUGUGGUGCUGGAGUAUGGGAGAGGUGCGUGGAAUUCCCGGUGUAGCGGUGAAAUGCGUAGAGAUGUGGAGGAAUACCGAUGGCGAAGGCAGCCCCCUGGGAUAACACUGACGCUCAUGCACGAAAGCGUGGGGAGCAAACAGG